This 1864-nucleotide long non-coding RNA is filed under the name Phasianus colchicus (ring-necked pheasant). RNAcentral describes it as "lncRNA (ENSPCLG00000016757.1)". The record is from RNAcentral. Lineage: Eukaryota; Metazoa; Chordata; Aves; Galliformes; Phasianidae.
UUGGCCAACACCCCCACCAACCCCAUCCCCUCCAACUCCUCCAACGCCGCCCGGUCGUAAGCGAAGGCGGCCAAAGCCAACAGCACCCUUGGGUGCCAACCCCGAGCUUUUGGGUCCCCCAAGAGGGUCACCAGGGUCCCCAACCCCCCUGCCGCCCUCACCUUGGCCCGGUUGACGGCUUCACGGCACAGAAGGCAAAGAGCCCGCAAUGCCGGGCCGCCGCCGUGGCAAGGGGCUCCAGUGGGGGGCAAACGUUUGCCGAUGGGCCUUUGGGGGACGAUGGAACCACCAGGAGCACCAGCAUGGCCGCCACCACCAACCACGCGGCUGCCGGCAACGUGGCUGCCAACAUGGCUGCCAAGCCUGGCGUCGUCACCGACGCCAUCGUGGCUGCCAACAAUAUGGCCGCCACCAACAUGGCUGCCAGCCCCAUGGUCAUCACCAACGCUAGCAUGGCUGCCAACCCCGUGACUGCCACCAACAUGGCCGCCAACCCUAGAAUCAUCGCCAACACCAAUAUGGCCGCCAACCCCAUGGUCAUCGCCAACACCAUCAUGGCUGCCAGCAACAUGGCUGCCAGCAACAUGGCCGCCAACCCCAUGGUCAUCACCAACACCAUCAUGGCUGCCGGCAACAUGGCCGCCAACCCUAGGGUCAUCACCAACACCAUCAUGGCUGCCAGCAACAUGGCUGCCACCAACAUGGCCGCCAACCCCAUGGCCACCCCCAACACCAUCAUGGCCACCACCACCAACCCCAUGGCUACCCCCAACAUGGCUGCCACCAAGAUGGCCACCACCGCCAACGCCAUGGCUGCCAACAACAUGGCGGCCGCCAACAUGGCCGCCAUCCCCAUGGCCACCACCAACCCCACGACCACCCCCAAGACCACCAUGACCGCCAUGAUGGCCACCACCACCACGAUGGCGACCAGCACCACCAUGAUGGCGACCACCACCACCUCCAUCCCCACCACCUCCACCAUCACGACCACCAUGAUGGCAACCAUCACCACCAUGAUUGCAACCACCAUCACUUCCAUCUCGACCACCACGAUGACCACCACGAUGGCCACCAUGAUGGCCACCAUCAUCUCCAUCCUCACCACCAUGAUGGCCACCAUCAUCUCCAUCCUCACCACCAUGAUGGCCACCAUCAUCUCCCUCCCCACCACCAUGACGGCCGCCAUCAUCAUCUCCAUCACCUCCAUCCCCACCACCACGAUGGCCACCACGACGUCCACCAUCAUCGCCUCCAUCUCCAUCCCCACCACCUCCACCGCAGUGACGACCGCCAUGACGGCCACCACCACCACCACCUCCGUCCCCACCGCCCCCACCACCCCAAUGACCCCCACCCCCCCGACCCCCCUCCCCAUUUCCACCUUCCACCAUCCUCAUCACCUCCCUGGUCACCACCUCCACGGCCCCGACGCAACCCAAAGCCGGCCGCAGCGCCGCCCGGUGGCACAAAUUAGCAAUGGCGGCUAAGGCCGGACGCCGGCGAUCUCGUUCAGGAGAUUCUGCUAAUUGAGUGAGGGUCCGAAGGGCCGGGAUGGCGUCGUCCAAAGAUGAACUCGGGGGUUCCGUCAGGUGCCGCAGGGCUCGGGUGACCGAAGUGCAAGCCGGGUGGGUCGGGGGUAAAGUGGCCAAACGGGAAGCCACGGCACGGAGAGCGCCGGCGCGGCAAAGGGAGGCACGGGAGGAUGGAGAGGAAGCCAGGAUGCGGAGAGCGCGGGAGGAGCUGUGCAGGCACUCCGGGGUGGUGCAGGUGGAGGUGAGAGACACCAGGAGGGGAACGGCACCUGGAAGGGGGGGAGAGAAAGGGGGGGCUAGAACCUGUGGUGGUGGAGAAUCCAUUAGGG